UACGGGGGGGGCAAGCGUUGUUCGGAAUUACUGGGCGUAAAGGGCUCGUAGGCGGCCAACUAAGUCAUACGUGAAAUCCCUCGGCUUAACCGGGGAACUGCGUCUGAUACUGGAUGGCUUGAGUUCGGGAGAGGGAUGCGGAAUUCCAGGUGUAGCGGUGAAAUGCGCAGAUAUCAGGAAGAACACCUAUGGCGAAGGCAGCUCUCUGGGACGGUACUGACGCUGAGACGCGAAAGCGUGGGGAGCGAACAGG
This 253-nucleotide ribosomal RNA is filed under the name uncultured bacterium. RNAcentral describes it as "partial 16S ribosomal RNA". It matches the Rfam family "Bacterial small subunit ribosomal RNA", at positions 524 to 776 of the family's 1533-position model. The record is from RNAcentral.